GGUGGCUCAGUGGUAGAGCGCUGACAUUGCAUGCCUGAGGCCCUGGGUUCGAUUCCCCAGCACCA
This is a non-coding RNA of Dipodomys ordii (Ord's kangaroo rat), 65 nucleotides long. NCBI's taxonomy places the organism in Eukaryota, Metazoa, Chordata, Mammalia, Rodentia, Heteromyidae. The record is from Rfam.